Long non-coding RNA from Haplochromis burtoni (Burton's mouthbrooder), 7525 nucleotides. RefSeq lists it as uncharacterized. The transcript is spliced from 3 exons. The record is from RefSeq and is a predicted model, not a curated record. NCBI's taxonomy places the organism in Eukaryota, Metazoa, Chordata, Actinopteri, Cichliformes, Cichlidae.
GACUGAGUUCUUCUGGUUACCAAAACACACGCUUCCUCUUUUAGCCGUCCCCAACAUCAGUGGGCCAACAUUCAGUCGUCUCACCGCAAUUUUCAGACUCCUUAGACUCGAACAGUGUUAAAUAUACCACAAGAACAACACAGACAACCUUUCAGAAAAUGCUCAGACUUUUCGAGUAUAUUAUUUAACUAAAUACGAGUCACGUGACGUUCGCGGGCUAGCUAACAGCCGCUACCUACAGGUUGACAAGCUAACACCAGUUUAAAUGUACUUUAAUUACAAUUAAUCGUUUCACACGAUACGUAAGCACUGAGGACGUAAACCGAUUCCGUCGUGCGGGAUCUUGUUACCUGCUGCCUGCUGGACACUGGCUCGCCAAAAUUGGAUAAUGAAAGAUUGGAAAAGGUUUUCAGAUGGAUUGGAGGGGUCAAAAAUAGGUGUACCCAUCUUCUGAUGGCUGCUUCCAGCAGGAUUCGCUGCAUGGAAAUUGCCUCCACAGUCACCAGAACUCAGGCCAGUAGAGCAUCUUUGGAAUGUGGUGAAAUAAAAGGUUUUCACAUCAUGGAUAUGCGGCCAAUAAAUCUGCAACAACUACAUUAAGCUAUCCUGUCACUAUGGAUUAAAAUCUGUAAAUGUUUCCAGGAACUUUUUGAAUCUCAGUCACAAAGACGGCAGCUCUGAAGGCAAAAGGGGCUCUGACUCAGUACUGGCAAGGUGUACUAAUAAAGUAUGUAGUGAGUUUGUAUGCACUAAUCUAAAUAGUCAGCACAAUAUCCUCUGCAGAUUAACAAUAACUCUCACACUAACAAUCAACAAAUGGGGUGAAUUUAGGGAACAUAAGAUUGAAAAGCACAGUAAUAAUAGGUUUGGUUUUCUUGUCCGAUGAUUGAUAGUGGAAUGUUUUUGUUAAGCCACUAGAGUCACUAUAAUGUUCUCAUCAGUGUGACAUGACAUGUUGUAGUGGUUAAGGAUCAAAGAGGAAGUUGACUUUGAAAAGCAGAGGAAAAUGACACAAGCUAGUUUUAAUCAAAUAUAUUACAUAAGUGAUUAUAGUGAACAUGAUGAAACCAGUAAAUUUUCUUAUCAUCAUCUCUAUCUUAGGAACAUGAUAUUAGAUCAUCCAAACCAAGUAAUUAUCACCCGUGCAAUAGAAAAGUAUUCAACAGACUCUAUAUCAGUGGGUCUUCAUAUGUGCCGACACCAGAUCAACAACAAAAGGUUCAUGAACUGGUUGAAUGUUGUCAGAUGAGAUAUUCUAACCCUCUUUUCAGGAUUCAUGCUAACUACAGCCAUAUUGGACCAACGUUACAAUAAAAUAAUAACACUUGCUGGUGUAGUGAAUAACACAUUUGCUAGAAAUCCCCAGGGGGUCACAAGCUAGCUUCUGGGCCAAAAAAGCAGCCAAAAGUACCUUCUCUCAUUUAUCAAAUAAACAAUAUACAGGCAAAAUACAAGCCAAAGGACCAUGUCGAUGUGACCCACUGCAUCUUAAAAGGAACACCAAACAACCUCUAAAACAACAACAAGAAUAUAAUUCAAUUUCUAGUGCAUAUCAGAAAAUCUGUAAGAAGUAGCCUUCUUUUAUUAUUCAUUUCAUUUUAUUUAUUUAUUUUUGAAAUAAUGCAUCAUGCCCAUUCCAACUUCAGUUAUUAGCAUGUUGAUUGGCCAUUUCUCAGGUGGUUUUAUAAGGUAAUGAUCUUUCCCCCAUUCUGGGUUGCAACAGGACACAAAUGAUAACAGUGGGUCUUUCUAAAGUGAGGAUGGAAGCCAUGACAUGACAAAUACCUAGUCACACAUCUAUUGGUAAGAGCGUUGUUUUUACAGUAAAGAAAUGAAAGUUGAGUUCAAAUUCAUAAUGAUAAAAACAUGAUUACAUGAACUAUUAUGACCAAAAAACUCUAUAAACUAAGUAUGAACGGAACUGUACAAAAAAGUACUUAACCUAGUGUAAGCCAAUGAUAAAUAUCUGCUGUUCAAACCACCCAGAUGUUUCCAAAAAAGUUUUUGGCUUAGGUUACACGUUCAGAAUAUGAUAUGAUCAUGUCCUUCUGAGACCCAGUCUAUUCAUUAUGUCCUCUGUAGUGGACAAAAGAGUUAAACCGAAAGAUUUCCUCGGUUCUCAGGAGGACAUGAUAUGACCUUUUCACAUCAAACAGAUGAGGGUAAUUCCAUCUCAGUUCAUCGUGUUUAAUAAAAAAUUUCCCUCCUCACAGCUUGUCAAAAUAUUGAAAAAAAAGGGAAAAAGGUACAUUUAAUAUGAAUUGUAAAACAAAAUAAACAAAAAGAAAUAGGAAAAAAAUGGAAGGUUUCCUGGCUUUAUUAAUGUGGAAUCUUGGGAAUGUAGCUAAAGUUACUGCAGCAUGAUGGAUGGAAGUCCCUAAGAUAUUUGGAUGUUUGGUCUUUGAAGGUAGAUUUGGAUGCCUGUAGAAAUCAUAAUUUAGUAUGUGUGGGAAUAAUAUUUAAUAGACAAUUCAUGUAUGGCAGCCAAAGAUUAUAACAAAUUAUAUCAUUUCUAAAAUUCACAGAUUUUAAGAUAAAAGACCUAAAUUAUAACCAAUGAUUUUUGUUUACUAGGCAAGAAGGCUAGCUCUGAUACUAAGGCUUCAAAUAUUAUUUCUAACAAUAUGUAAAGUAUUUCCAAUAUAUAAUUUUUAAUCAAUAAUAUUUUCAUCAACAGUGCUCGGUAAUUCAGUUUAUUUAUUUUUUAAGGGAAACUAUAGUCGGUAUACAAACAACUUUUUUCCCUUUCAAGAAAUCAUCGACUGAAUGCAAUCGUCAGGUGUCAUCAAAAUUCACUUGACUUCCUUCAAAUAAGUCAUCCUCUUUAAUACAUUUAUAUAUUUUUGUUUUGUGUUGUAAUAGCAGGACAUUAAAAUCUGUCCAAAUCACCCUUAAUUAACCCCAAAUUCUUAUUUAUGGUUUACAUAAAUAUUUAGUUUUAGUGCUGUUUAGGAACGCAGUGAAACUGAAUUUUAAAUAUUCAUAGCUGACAGUGUUUUAUGCAGUAAAACUAAACCACUCUGCCAGCAGAUGAAAUAUUAGUCUAGUGUAAAAGUAUUAUGAAGCUAGUAUUGGAAAUUACUUUAAAACUAUGACUAGGUAACCUUUGUAUUCCUCUUUUCUACUAUAGAGAUGAAUAAUAUAAUCAUGUUUUCUACAAACGGGUCUUGCAGCUCAGUAUGUUUUCCAUUUGUAACUCUGAGCUAUAUCUUUGUCUAUUUUUUUGUACAAAGCCACCAGUGAACUACAGAAUUACACUCUUAGCUUCUAUGAUAUCGUGGGCAUUGAUUAAUUUUGCCAUGAAAUUAAAAAUAAUACAUAAAUGGAGUGAACUGACAUUCAUAGUCUUUUCUAGACUUUCUGACUACCCAGAAUGCUUUAUACUGUAGUAUGAAGUGGCCACAUUUAACCAUGUAGUGAUACAUUCAUUUGAUUAUACCGUACUUUGUUCUACACAUUAUGCACUUUAUUUACCUCACAUCCAGUUAGCCUCACAUGAAUGGACUGUGUAGGAAGACUGGACUACUGGAAAGGAACCUUGUGAAUUCACAGGAAGGUCCCAGCUACUUUGAUGUUCUUAGUUCACAGACUUAUUGUUUUUUAAUCCUUGAACACAGGAUGUCUUCACUUGGAGGAUCUGAAUUUAUUCUGUGAAGAGCAAUUGCUCAGUUGAGUCAUACAAAUGGCCUGUUUUGAUUCUCUGUUCCUUCUGAGCAGAUACUUCAGUUUCAGUCCGGCUGUGAAUGCACAGCUCUCACUUGAGAAAGGAAGUGGUAUUUUUUUCCCUAAGACCAUCAAGUUUAUGCUGAUAAAUCGAGAGUUAAACUCGAUAUCUAUUUCACUUUGACAUCUUGUUAAGUUGCAUUUGUUUUCUUAGUAUCAAGUUUGUGAAUUUGUUUAACAGUCACAGGUGUCGAACUCCAGGCCUCAGUGGCCGGUGUCCUGCAGGUUUUAGAUAUCAGUCAUCACUAACCUGCAUUUUUGGUUUGAGCAGUCAAAAGGGCAAAUGCUUUGACUCUUAUAGCAUUUAUGUUAUAUUAUAAAUAUAGUGAGAAAGAGAAAUAUGCUCAUCAGCUGAACCCAGACAACACUGAUUGUACAACUGAUGAUUGAUUGUAAGACUGUCUGCAGUGACGGUCUUACAAUCAUCAGUUGAUUCACCAUGAGCUUGAUUCACAGGCACCAGCAGUCAUAAUCAUCUUGACACAUAAAAGGAUAAUUAUUAUUAGUAUUAUUUUUACACAACACAACUGCAAAAAAAGCUCUGGAAGUAAGCCAGUCACCUGACCAUCCUUUUCUCUAUUUAAUCAUUUAUUUUUGUUUUUACAUAAACAUCAGUUUCAGGUCUCUAAUAGAUGCAUAUUUUUUUAUUUCAUUUCCUUUAGUCAAGCUUUGUGAUUCAAUGCAUGCCCCUUCCACAGUAAGCAAAGAGUUGGGUGAGUCGAUCAGUUGGAGCGUAUUUUUUGUGCCAGAGCCCCGUGACUUAUUAAUCCCACCAAGCUUCAAAAAACAUAAUUUUGCAUAAUGAGUACUUCUGAUGAUUCCAGUUGAUAUAGCCUAUUAAGAUUUUAUUUAUUGAAUGCAGAACUCAUAAAAUGGGCUUAUAUUAUGAUUUAUUGAUCUCUUUUACUUUGUGAAAACUGAGUUAGCCAUUGGGUAAACUCCAGUGCAGUCCUAUUAUAAAGCUGAAGUGAAGUAAACAGAGAAUCUCUUUGUAGCUGCUGUUGAUGCAUUGUGAUUUCAGAAUGCUCAGAGCAGUAAAGUGUUUAAGUAUAAGUGUGGCAAUUCAUUCUUAAUUUAACAAGCUUGAUUUUAUGGAAAUGGGAAUACCUCUUAGGAGGGAAAUAAGUAAGCCUAUGCCAGUGGGAACAAAGUCAGAAGUACUGUUUGCUAUUCUGUCACACUGAGGAGACUCCUCUUCAGUAGCACGAGAGCUGUGUAAAAAAGGAGAAAACGGAAGUGAUGUUGUUACUGAACUGGCUGAAUGUCUCGGAUAUUCUGAAAAACUUAAGCUUGCUGCGUCAGACAUUUUUCUUUAGGGAAAUUUAAUAUUUACCUCUGAGUCUUUUAUUUGCCCUUAUUAAACAAUAGUUGAAUUGUCCACACAGAAUUUGUCUGAUCAUCUGCAGCAGUUGAUGGGUUAUAAUCACUUAGUACUUAACAAUGAGCUGUAAACUCAAGUGUGGAAAUUCAACCUUGAUUUGAUGAGUCUGAUGGUGCAGUAAGGGAAGCGUCUUGGAGAGCGGGAAUGAGUAGAAUGAUUGAAGAGAAAUAAAGCAGAAGUGCUGUUACCUGUUAUGUCACUCUGAUGUGGUUGCUUCCCAGCAUUGUGUGAAAACAAUUAAAAAGCACAAAUCAUGUUAUUCCUAAUGACCACUGACUGAAUGUUCAGGGUGUUCUGACAAACUUUUUUGAGUGGAAAAUGUAUAUUUAUCAGUACAUUUUAGGGGAUGAUGUAAAUGAGAAGUCAUAGAGGGGCUCAGAAUAAGAGAAUGUCUAUCCAAAAGCAAGCAGCUCUAAGGAACCUCUUCUUUGGUCUAGACUGAAAUUUUGUAAAGACAUUCAUUGUCCUCAAAGAAAUAUGGAUCAAAUAACUAACAGCGGCACUGGCUUGAAUACUGAAGCCAGAGCUAAGGUGACCAGAUGUCCUUCUCUAAGUGUCCCAUAUUUGGAUGACCAUGCACUUUUCUAAAGUCUGGCUUCCACCCAAUGGUUGUGAAGGGAAGGAUUUUUAUUGCAGUAAAAUGAAGGUUAGCCUCUCUAAUGCUAUGCCCAUCGGUGAAAAUUACAAGUCAACAGAAAGUCACAAACUUGGCAGAUUUUGUUGAAUAUGAUGGAAAGCACUGAAAGGAAAAUGAAGCACCAAGAAAUAUACUGAGAAAUGGAGGUUUUGUCAUUUUCUGCUAGAAUUGUUUUUCAGUUUCACACAGAGGGGGGAAAUGUUUGUUUCAUAAUUGGCCAAAUUGUCAGAUAUGGCUCCAUACCUCCUCCAAGGUAUGUCAGUCUGUGCAUGCAUCCUUACUGAAUCCCAGUGACUUUUAUCAUUUGAGACCACAAAAAAAAAAAAAAAACUUCAGUUUUCUUUUAUUCUUAUUGUAUUAACAUAGUAAAAAGAGUAGGAAAUGUCAACACAGUCAAAUAUAAUAUGUAUCUGACUACCUCCCAGCACUGUUAAUGUGUCUGAGUUUGUCCAAGUCAAACACCAUAUUUAGGACAGGCAGAGGCCCCCCCCCCCCCCCCAAGAAACAAACAAACAAAAACAAACUACUACUACUUAUAUUUACAGGUGGCCACAUCAUGGUCUCUGCUGCAAUGUGUGGCCAAACUGUUCACAUAUAUGCUAACAAUUACCACUUGGAGAUUUUCUGUUUUGGCUGCAGUGUUUAUCUCCUUCUGACUCACUACAUCACUGCACUCAAACCACUUCCCCCUUCCAAGUGCUGGAGGAUCCUGAGGAUAUUGUUUCCCAGUAGCAUGUGCAUGUUGUUAAAUAAUUAAAUAAAUAAAUAAAAAGAGAAGUGAUGUCAUUGCUAUUUACCACACGAUUACCGUACACUAUGUUCUGAUGAAUUUAAGCGUCACACUUUUUUCACACAAUUAAACAAGAAGCACUCUGAGAGCACAAAUAUCCGCCAACACAGGUCCCUUUCUGGGCAGUAUUUACUUUUAUAGUAGUAAAUGAAUUAUUGUAUUAUGGACAUGUUCAUUUUGUUUUCUUUGUUCUUUUUACAUAUACUUUAAGGAGUUUGUAGUGCAGUAAAAAGAAGCACACAGUAGAAGCUUUUGUUAUUUGCUCUGUUGAAACCUAUUUUAAUAUACCUGACAUAAUUUUGAGUAUAUUUAUUUGUUAUUUUUGUGGAUAUAGUAAAUGUGUAGCAUUAAUUUUAAUGUUUAGUAAAAUUUGCUUACAUUUUUAGUAAAUAUCAGGUGAAUAAAGUUUUUGAUCACAAAUUCAUUUUGUUUUUUUAAUAUAUCUGUAUAUAUUGGCAAAAAAGUCUUACAAUGUAUUUUGUUUUCAAAUCUUUGACAACUAAAUUAAAUAAAUUAAGCUGACCUUGAAAUUCUCAGUGAAUGUAAGCCAAAUUUGAAUGGAUUGUAGAAACCCCACUCUCCAAAAGUUGAUUCUGUUCAUGUGGACGAAGCGUUUUCAGUGGCAGAAACAUUUCGUCACUCAUCCAAGUGACUUCUUCAGUCUCAGCUGACUGCAGGUUUCCCCAAAUCUUAAAAACAGUACAUUCGCAUAGUGACUGAAACCAGCCCACUGAAGGAACAAUGGGCUGGGUGGUCAGUUCCUUCAUCAUGAUUAUGCAAAUUCUCAUGACCACUGAUCAACAACCACUGACCAAACCACAUUUUCUAUAGUGCCAUUAUCAAUCAUAUUAUUAAAUGGCAAUGGGUGGCUGCAUGUGGUAAUGAGGAUUUCUAUGUGUCUGAUCUCUUAGAUGACAUGUUUGCCUCAUUUGACCAAGGUGAAUUUCUCCCAAGGGAGACAAUAAAGGCUAAUCUAAGAAUCCUCUGAUUGACC